AUUGAACGCUGGCGGAAUGCCUUACACAUGCAAGUCGAACGGCAGCACGGACUUCGGUCUGGUGGCGAGUGGCGAACGGGUGAGUAAUAUAUCGGAACGUGCCCAGUCGUGGGGGAUAACGUAGUGAAAAUUACGCUAAUACCGCAUACGAUCUAUGGAUGAAAGCGGGGGACCUUUGGGCCUCGCGCGAUUGAAGCGGCCGAUAUCAGAUUAGGUAGUUGGUGGGGUAAAGGCUCACCAAGCCAACGAUCUGUAGCUGGUCUGAGAGGACGACCAGCCACACUGGGACUGAGACACGGCCCAGACUCCUACGGGAGGCAGCAGUGGGGAAUUUUGGACAAUGGACGCAAGUCUGAUCCAGCCAUUCCGCGUGCAGGACGAAGGCCUUCGGGUUGUAAACUGCUUUUGUACAGAACGAAAAGGUUUCUACUAAUACUAGGAGCUCAUGACGGUACUGUAAGAAUAAGCACCGGCUAACUACGUGCCAGCCGCCGCAGUAA
RNAcentral lists this ribosomal RNA (500 nucleotides) under uncultured bacterium. Its description in RNAcentral is "partial 16S ribosomal RNA". It matches the Rfam family "Bacterial small subunit ribosomal RNA", at positions 30 to 523 of the family's 1533-position model. The record is from RNAcentral.